AGAUAAGUUUUCUAGGGUUCCGCAACGAAACACGUUGGUCUGGUCCGAGAGAAAACUCACAGCCUUUGCUGUGUCACGGAAGGAUAAAAGCCUGGGAGGA
Molecule: small RNA, 100 nt
Filed under: Oceanobacillus picturae
Lineage: Bacteria; Bacillati; Bacillota; Bacilli; Caryophanales; Bacillaceae
Description: Guanidine-I sequence
Rfam family: Guanidine-I riboswitch aptamer
About the family: This family represents a conserved RNA structure found upstream of the ykkC and yxkD genes in Bacillus subtilis and related genes in other bacteria. The function of this family is unclear although it has been suggested that it may function to switch on efflux pumps and detoxification systems in response to harmful environmental molecules. Nelson showed that this riboswitch senses and responds to guanidine and it was renamed Guanidine-I riboswitch.
Source: Rfam by way of RNAcentral